GACGAACGCUGGCGGCGUGCCUAACACAUGCAAGUCGAGCGGGGUUGAAGCGAGGGGUAACUCGAACUUCUACCUAGCGGCGGACGGGUGAGUAACGCGUGGGCAACCUGCCUCAAGGUCUGGGAUAACAGCUCGAAAGGGCUGCUAAUACCGGAUAUGCCUAUAGCCUCGCAUGGGGCUAUGAGCAAAGGGGAAACCCGCCUUGAGAUGGGCCCGCGUCCCAUCAGCUAGUUGGUGAGGUGAAGGCUCACCAAGGCGACGACGGGUAGCCGGCCUGAGAGGGUGACCGGCCACACUGGGACUGAGACACGGCCCAGACUCCUACGGGGGCAGCAGUGGGGAAUCUUGCACAAUGGGCGAAAGCCUGAUGCAGCGACGCCGCGUGAGCGAAGAAGGCCUUCGGUUGUAAGCUCUGCCUGGAGGGACGAAGAAAGUAGACGGUACCUCCGGAGGAAGCCACGGCUAACUACGUG
RNAcentral lists this ribosomal RNA (473 nucleotides) under uncultured bacterium. RNAcentral's name for it is "bacterial SSU rRNA". It matches the Rfam family "Bacterial small subunit ribosomal RNA", at positions 28 to 507 of the family's 1533-position model. The record is from RNAcentral.